This 511-nucleotide long non-coding RNA is filed under the name Homo sapiens (human). RNAcentral describes it as "HSALNT0202917". Lineage: Eukaryota; Metazoa; Chordata; Mammalia; Primates; Hominidae. The record is from RNAcentral.
UGAGGAUACAGGGAGAAAAUGGCAGUCUAUGAACCAGGAAGCAAGUCUUCACCAGAACCCAGCUGUGCUAGCACCCUGAACUCAGGCUUUCAGCCUCCAGAACGAUCCUCAGAGCUUUAUAGCCUUUCAGUUGAGAAAUAUGAAACACUGAAAAUCAAAAACAAAUGCUGGAAAUCUUCGGGUUCACUCUGAUGCAGAUACACUAGCAAAGAUCAGGAGUUCUUCUACAGAUUGAAAACCUGCACAGUAGAGAAUACAACCUAAGGAGUAUUUUACAUGCCUUCCUUUGUAUCAGGGCAGACUCAUGAUUAGUGGACUUGGAAGUUCAUAAAAUUUGGAGGGUCCUCUUUAAGAAAGAGAGGAAAAGGUUAUAAAUACAAAAUUAGAUGCAAAGGGCAGAGUGCUACACCUAAAAGAUCGUGGAUCUCCUAAUAAUGAGGAAGAGGAACGGAGACUGAGUCCUGAAAAGAGAGAGGUGAUGAUGUUUGUAUAGGUUGUUGCCUUUGUUUGU